This 2429-nucleotide unclassified non-coding RNA is filed under the name Gigantopelta aegis. RNAcentral's name for it is "translin-like, transcript variant X2". The record is from RNAcentral. Lineage: Eukaryota; Metazoa; Mollusca; Gastropoda; Neomphalida; Peltospiridae.
GUCUUCUUGUUUACCGGAUUUGUGCAAUUUUAUGUGUUUGCUUUCUCAUUACAGAUAAAUAUUGAGAAUGUCGGAUACUAGCUCUGCUAGAGUCAUGCGUUCUUGUACCAAAUGCAGGAAAUUUAUGGCGGGAGGAGACCCGCACGACGUCUGCCCCGGGUCUCGGUCACCCUGUGAUGUCGAAUCACGUUGUCUACUCUGUCUUCCUCUCGGACCAACUGAAUUUGACAACUACUUGAAGGUCUUGGCUCAGCACUGUAGGAAAUCGGAUGCUGUUUCGGCGGCUUCCCCUCCAGUUACGCCGACUUUGGAGUCUAUGGCUGAAUUGCUGAAGUCUAUCUUACCCAGUAUGGUUCAAGAAACUAUCGCUUCGCUACAAGCCACUACUAGACCUACGGCUACCGUGACGGUACCAGUUUCAACUCCAGUGUCUACUACGGUGUGCGCUACGGUGACCACGGUUACCACACCAACGGAUACUACGGUGUCUCGUCCACCUAGGGAUUCCACUGCGGAUCAUCACCAACCUACUUCACCUGUUGUUGGGCAUCACAGCCGUGAACGGAGCCGUUCUCCACGAUCUACGGAUUAUUCUCAUCGCCGUCAUCGGUCUCGUAGUAUACAGCAUUAUACCUCACGGUCACCCUCCGGUUUCCGUUACGGCCGUUCACGAACUCCGCGUCCUUCAAGUAUGGCGGAUCGGCAUGCUUGUGCUCGGCUUUUGCGGGACUUCCCUGAGGAUGAACCACAGGAUUCCGUUGUGGAUGAUUCAGAUACCGUGGAUAAUAUGACAAUGAAAGACUGUUUAUCCAUUGUUUACGAUUUCUACCAUCGCUACCUCGAUCACCGGCGCCUACCCGGAAGGGACCGGUACCUAUGAUUGUUACCGACGCAGCCCCAGAGGAUGUGGUGAUUAAAUCUCUUGCUGUGGGCACGAUGAUCGCUGGUGUUAAUACAGAGUUGGAUGCGGUUUUUGCUGACACGGCCUCCCCUUUGGCAUUACCUGCGUGGCAUUCUAAUGCCUAUUCAGUGUUUAACGUGCCCUUCAAGGUAUCUCGUCUCGGCAAAUCUCAUACAAUGGUGGAAAUUCCUGAGCGUACAAUCACUACCAUUGAUACUACUCAGCGACGGCUUAAUUGAACUAACUUCUCCACCGUUUUACUAGUAAGAAAAAAUCGGGGUUUUGUUGGUUUAUGUUCUGAUGGAUGCUUCUACUAUAUUUGUUUCCGUUGGUAUACAAUUAUUGGUUGGAUGGUUACCUAACACCUGCAUCCGCGGUGGUGACGCUUACUCACCUUUCAGAACUUCCUUGUUGGAGAACGAAUUUGUGACCUUUUCGUGCUUCACGACUUCAUUACUCCACACCACUGACGGAUGCUUCCUUCCCACUGUCAAUACUAACAGCAUGGAUAUUGGUUGUUAUGCAUCGUUUGGAGGAUGGGCUAAAUUUGGUUGGGUUUUUUUGUUUUUUCUUCCACACUCACAGUUGGGGUGAACACUUGUACAUCUUCGGAGUAUGGAACCCGCCACCAUCUAUUGAAUGCUGCACUAAUUAUGAGGACAGGUGAUGUUGAAAAGAAAUGGAGAAAACUUAGGUGUUUUCUCUUUUAUAGAUACAUCACCUGUCCUCAUGGAAUGAUUUCCCACCCUUCCUCCCCUCUUCCAGUUCUCCGUGUGAUUCGCUCAGGGAAAAGAAGGAAGUUGUAGUCACAUGACCGGAACAGGAAGGGUACACAGUGGAAGAAUUUAAGCCAUCCCAUUGGCUGUUGGGAUGUUCGGACCAGUCUACUAAUCGUAGGGAAUAUGCACUAGUUAUGAGGACAGGUGAUGUAUCUAUAAAAGAGAAAACACCUCAAGUUUUCUCCAGUUUCACUUUCAUUGGGGAUUUACCAAUUUUUAACAGAGUUAUGGCCAGAUCAAGUUUGACAUUCAGCGGUUUGCCAUAUAGGUAAAUAUCAUCAUAUUAUUUCAGUGAAGGAUUUGCCAGAUGUAUAAAUGACUCAAGAUAUCUUAACAAAAGAUUUUCCAUUGCCAUUUGCAUAAAAUGCCUAGUUAGUUUAAGGAUGUUACAUGUGCAUAAUUUCCAUAAAUGUCUCGUAUUAUAUUAAUAAAGGAUUGGUCACGUGUGCAUAAAAUGCCUCUUUAUUUUUUUAAAGGAUUUCACGCGUGUAUAAAUGUCUCAUUUUCUUUUAAUGCUUCGCGUUAUUUCAGUAAAAGUGAAACGAGACGAUGGAUUUCACAUAGACCUGGAUGACUAUCUGAUGGGCUUGCUGCAAGUUGCCACGGAACUGUCUCGACUUGCGAUCAACUCGGUGACAGCAGGAGACUACUCCCGACCGGUGCGGAUUUCUACGUUUGUGGCAGAGCUGGACUCGGGGUUUAGACUCCUCAAUUUAAAAAAUGAUAAUCUGCGAAAACGCUUUGACGCA